GAGAAGGGGCUGCUGAAAGCAUGAGGGGUUUCUCAUUCUCUGCACAUAGGGAACGGUGCAGCCCAGUGCUCAGCAUCCCAGCCUGCACCCCACCCUACACCUGGGACGGCCAACCUUACAAAGCGGCCAGCCCACGCCAGGGCUGGGAAUAAGUGGAAAUCAGCAGGGCUCCACCACAGCCUAACUAUGAGAGGGAGGAACAUCUCUUCUUUGAGGCAAGCCGUGGCUUUUCAGACAAAAUCUGAACAAAAGUGGACUCGAGUGAGAUAUGUCUGCUUCAGAGCAACAAGAUCCUCAGUGGGGAGCAGAGGGGCGCGUUGUGGGGGGGCAGCCAGGCUUUGGAGUCCGCAGGGCUGAGGGCUGAGGGCUGGGUUCAAGGACAGGUAAAGGCAAAUUCCCCUUAAACGUGGCCAUGAGCUGCAGGGGCAGACUGUGCUGGUUGGGGCUGGAGCCUGGCCGUGUCCCAGCCAGCAAACACUGCUCAGUGCAACAGCCAGCUUUUAUUCUUUGGUUUAUUUAGAUUCACUUCAGAAAAAAUAAAAUAAAAUAAUAGUAAUUACUUUCCAGAAGUUUGAAAUUUCCUUCAUAAACUCCAUCCAUAUAAAAAUACAAACGAUAAUAAAAUCAAGACAUUCAGUGGCCCAUCCAAUCUCAUCCUGCAGCAGAAACUGCUACUGAUUAAAAACAAAAACAAAAAAAAGAGAACAAAAAAAAAAACCCACCCACUCCACCAUUCCAGAGAGCCAGAACCAAAC
Lagopus muta (rock ptarmigan) is the source of this 755-nucleotide long non-coding RNA. RefSeq lists it as uncharacterized. Lineage: Eukaryota; Metazoa; Chordata; Aves; Galliformes; Phasianidae. The transcript has 2 exons. The record is from RefSeq and is a predicted model, not a curated record.